AUUGAACGCUGGCGGCAUGCCUUACACAUGCAAGUCGAGCGCGAAAGGGGGCAACCCCGAGUAGAGCGGCGGACGGGUGAGUAACGCAUCGGAACGUGCCCAGUAGUGGGGGACAACCUCGAGAAAUCGAGACUAAUACCGCAUACGACCCACGGGUGAAAGCGGGGGACCGCAAGGCCUCGCGCUAUUGGAGCGGCCGAUGUCCGAUUAGCUAGUUGGCGGGGUAAGAGCCCACCAAGGCGACGAUCGGUAGCUGGUCUGAGAGGACGACCAGCCACACUGGGACUGAGACACGGCCCAGACUCCUACGGGAGGCAGCAGUGGGGAAUUUUGGACAAUGGGGGCAACCCUGAUCCAGCCAUGCCG
Molecule: ribosomal RNA, 366 nt
Filed under: uncultured bacterium
Lineage: Bacteria
Description: bacterial SSU rRNA
Rfam family: Bacterial small subunit ribosomal RNA
Source: RNAcentral